RNAcentral lists this ribosomal RNA (340 nucleotides) under uncultured bacterium. RNAcentral describes it as "bacterial SSU rRNA". It matches the Rfam family "Bacterial small subunit ribosomal RNA", at positions 28 to 334 of the family's 1533-position model. The record is from RNAcentral.
GAUAAACGCUGGCGGCGCACAUAAGACAUGCAAGUCGAACGGAAGUCGUUAUAAAAAGAGAGAAGAUUUAUCGGAUUGAGUUUUAUAACAAUGGCUUUAGUGGCGGACUGGUGAGUAACGCGUAAGGAACCUACCUAUUAGAGGGGAACAACAAUGAGAAAUCAUUGCUAAUACCGCAUAUACCAUAACUGCCGCAUGGUAGAAGUGGGAAAGGAGUAAUCCGCUGAUAGAUGGCCUUGCGUCUGAUUAGUUAGUUGGUGGGGUAACGGCCUACCAAGACGACGAUCAGUAGCCGGACUGAGAGGUUGAACGGCCACAUUGGGACUGAGAUACGGCCCAG